AUCGCUUCUCAACCUUUUGUCUAAGAUCAAGUGUUGUAUCUGUUCUUAUCAGUUUAAAAAAGUUAAACUGAGAAAACCUAAGAAGCUGAGAACUCCCAGACAGGGUCCAAGCCCCC
RNAcentral lists this small nuclear RNA (116 nucleotides) under Ovis aries (sheep). RNAcentral's name for it is "U2 spliceosomal RNA (ENSOARG00000022435.1)". The stretch from base 1 to 98 matches the Rfam family "U2 spliceosomal RNA". From Rfam's summary of the family: U2 is a small nuclear RNA (snRNA) component of the spliceosome (involved in pre-mRNA splicing). Complementary binding between U2 snRNA (in an area lying towards the 5' end but 3' to hairpin I) and the branchpoint sequence (BPS) of the intron results the bulging out of an unpaired adenosine, on the BPS, which initiates a nucleophilic attack at the intronic 5' splice site, thus starting the first of two transesterification reactions that mediate splicing. Lineage: Eukaryota; Metazoa; Chordata; Mammalia; Artiodactyla; Bovidae. The record is from RNAcentral.